This 571-nucleotide ribosomal RNA is filed under the name Arthrobotrys sp. 1 HM-2018. RNAcentral's name for it is "LSU rRNA". It matches the Rfam family "Eukaryotic large subunit ribosomal RNA", at positions 76 to 661 of the family's 3401-position model. The record is from RNAcentral. Lineage: Eukaryota; Fungi; Ascomycota; Orbiliomycetes; Orbiliales; Orbiliaceae.
UGCCUCAGUAACGGCGAGUGAAGCGGCAACAGCUCAAAUUUGAAAUCUGGGGUCUUUCGGCCUCCGAGUUGUAAUUUGAAGAGGAUGUUUCGGUGCGACCUGGGCCUAAGUUCCUUGGAACAGGACGUCAUGGAGGGUGAGAAUCCCGUACAUGGCUGCAGGUUUGCUUCUAUGUGAAACUCCUUCGAAGAGUCGAGUUGUUUGGGAAUGCAGCUCAAAAUGGGUGGUAAAUUUCAUCUAAAGCUAAAUAUUGGCGGGAGACCGAUAGCGCACAAGUAGAGUGAUCGAAAGAUGAAAAGCACUUUGAAAAGAGAGUUAAACAGUACGUGAAAUUGUUGAAAGGGAAGCGCUUGCAAUCAGACUCGCCUUCAGUUGAUCAGCCUUCCUUCUGGUUGGUGCACUCUGCUGUUGGUGGGCCAGCAUCAGUUGGGGCGGUGGGACAAAGGCUUCAGGAAUGUGGCUCGUUUCGGCGAGUGUUAUAGCCUGUUGCGUCAUGCCACCAGCCCCGACUGAGGUCCGCGGUUCGCCUAGGAUGCUGGCUUAAUGGUUGUAAGCGACCCGUCUUGAAACA